Long non-coding RNA from Gadus morhua (Atlantic cod), 1913 nucleotides. NCBI's taxonomy places the organism in Eukaryota, Metazoa, Chordata, Actinopteri, Gadiformes, Gadidae. The record is from Ensembl.
GUCUCCACGGUGACCAGCUCAUUUCCAGGGGAUCCCCUGCCAAGAGGCGGACCUCGACGACAGCGUUAUUACGCUUCCAGCGUAACAGGCCAACUCUGCUCGCUAUUUCAUUUUUCUUUAAGUGUUUUGAUAAUUUACUUACAUAACAGUGUUGCGUUCUCUACAUCAGCAGCUGCUGUACAUUUAUAAUGGGUAUAAUAUCGAUAAUGGCCACUUAGCUGACUUAAUAACUCUUUCUCCCCCCCCGGUGGGUUUGUUGUUUAUCGGUACUACCUAGCUAUGUGUUUCAGCGGGCAUGCAUGGCUCGGUUUUAGGUGGGUGUCUACGUAGAUGCAUAGGCUUCCUAGAAGUGGGGUUUAUUUCAGGAAGAUGCACUUGCUUGGAACCCCCCACAACCCUCAGCCCCUUUAAUAACCUCCCUAAUGACACCACCCUCAUCAGACUACAUACGGCAGAGGGGAGGAUGUGCAGUUCCAGGAUGUCUCCCACACACACCUCUCAAAGCCGGAAAUAAUAGUAUUACAACCGCAGUCAGAUCUCCUCUCUGGAAAUUGUAUGCCCUUCCCCCAUAGAUGAAGUGUUUCUAUUUGUUUGGUUGGAUUUAUUUUUUCGAGUGUCGGAGUUACUUAUUUUCCCUCUCAUGGCUAUACGUGAGAAAAUAACAUUUUCCUCAACACUUUUAAUUAGCAUGCGUCCAUGUCUACAACACAUAAAAAAAGUAUCGACCUUUUGAUACGUUAAACAGUUUGCCACGGAUGUUGUUGCAGCUGCGGAAUAAACCGUUUGUAUUUAUUUAACAAUUUAAAAGUGCUUACAGAGGCGAUCUCAAACAAACACAGGCCUCUGCAUUGAAACUAUUUAUUAUUUCCCGCUGUAAGGUUGAGGAAAAACCGUAUUGAUGGGGGAAGGGAUGCACACACUAGUUAUUAAUGAAAGACCUUAAAAGCUUGUUUUGCUGUUGUUUAAAGCGAUUCAUGUUAAAUUGGCCCUGAGCCAAUUAAGCACUAAAGAGGUUCAGCUGUGCCUGGUAAAUGUCCAAUAAUGCCGUGCUGCGUAUCAGGUCUACAGAAUCCCAGAGCCACCUAUGACCCUCACAAACUUACCCCCGGAGACGAGCUACAUCAUGUAGACGUGGAGCCAGGCGAGGCUGCAGAGGUGGGAUGGUGAACAUGCUGGGAAUCCAGAAUGUUCCAUCGGACGGCCUUCCUUUGGUUUGCUGUGGACUCCACAAACAAGCGCUGAUCGUCUAGAUGCACUUCACUGCAGAAGCCCUGAAGUUGGGACCGCUGGAGCGCAGAAGGAAUCUCCUUCAAGAGGAAGGAACGGGCGGGGAGACACAACAGAUAGUGGAGGAUGACCUUCAGAGCUGUGUGCAGGGGAGAGCCAUCAGAAUAAAUUAGGCUGGCAGAAGAAGUGAAAAGCUUGUGGCUCACAUUGGACAGGGGGCUGGUGAGGAGGAGAUGCAGGGGGUGAUGCACAAGCACCCGAUGAAGUAUGCAGGCCUCUGGGGGGGCCGGAGAACCACUGAGACCCCUUGAUUGACAAUGAGACUCCUUGAUUGACACUUGAGACCCCCUGACAGCCGCAAUAGCAAAAUGUCACUGGGGGUCCUAAUGUCCAAUAUUCAUUUUUCAAAUUGCAAAACAUGGAUUCACAAACAUAAAUAGGCUCCAGAAAAACAUUAUUGUGGUGCUCGAUCUGAAUCAUUCAUUGAAUCCCAGAAAGGCCUUCUUCCAGUUGCAAAUGCUCCGCAAUCCAAAUGUUGUGCGAUUUAGAAAACCUGAACAGAUAAACAGCAGCACAGCAGCAUUCUGGAAGCAGACUACCGACAGCAAGUAGAUUGUGUGGAGAGGAUGACCCAGUCUUUAGAAGUUCCAUCUGAACGCUGUCUCCUCCUACCUUUGUACCCCCCC